Molecule: ribosomal RNA, 778 nt
Filed under: Pisaura quadrilineata
Lineage: Eukaryota; Metazoa; Arthropoda; Arachnida; Araneae; Pisauridae
Description: SSU rRNA
Rfam family: Eukaryotic small subunit ribosomal RNA
Source: RNAcentral
UAAUCAAGAACGAAAGUUAGAGGUUCGAAGGCGAUCAGAUACCGCCCUAGUUCUAACCAUAAACGAUGCCAGCCAGCGAUCCGGCUGUGUUCCUCAAAUGACACGCCGGGCAGCUUCCGGGAAACCAAAGCUUUUGGGUUCCGGGGGAAGUAUGGUUGCAAAGCUGAAACUUAAAGGAAUUGACGGAAGGGCACCACCAGGAAUGGAGCCUGCGGCUUAAUUUGACUCAACACGGGAAAACUUACCCGGCCCGGACACAGGAAGGAUUGACAGAUUAAGAGCUCUUUCUUGAUUCUGUGGGUGGUGGUGCAUGGCCGUUCUUAGUUGGUGGAGCGAUUUGUCUGGUUAAUUCCGAUAACGAACGAGACUCUAGCCUACUAAAUAGACGUUCCGAUCAUCUCCGUCGGACGUUCUUCUUAGAGGGACAAGCGGCGUUUAGCCGCACGAGACAGAGCAAUAACAGGUCUGUGAUGCCCUUAGAUGUCCGGGGCCGCACGCGCGCUACAUUGAAGGAAUCAGCGUGUGCUUUCCCGUUCCGACAGGAAUGGGUAACCCGUUGAACCUCCUUCGUGCUGGGGAUUGGCUAUUGUAAUUACAGCCAUGAACGAGGAAUUCCCAGUAAGCACGAGUCAUUAGCUCGUGUUGAUUACGUCCCUGCCCUUUGUACACACCGCCCGUCGCUACUACCGAUUGAAUGAUUUAGUGAGGUCCUCGGACUGGCGCUCGGAGCGGCCUUCGGGUCGCGCCGGCGUGCCGGAAAGAUGACCAAACUUGAUCA